Molecule: ribosomal RNA, 198 nt
Filed under: uncultured bacterium
Lineage: Bacteria
Description: partial 16S ribosomal RNA
Rfam family: Bacterial small subunit ribosomal RNA
Source: RNAcentral
AGUCUGCAACCCGACUACAUGAAGCUGGAAUCGCAGUAAUCGCAGAUCAGAAUGCUGCGGUGAAUACGUUCCCGGGUCUUGUACACACCGCCCGUCACACCAUGGGAGUCGGAAAUGCCCGAAGCCAGUGACCCAACCUUAAGGAGGGAGCUGUCGAAGGUGGAGCCGAUAACUGGGGUGAAGUCGUAACAAGGUAGC